This is a long non-coding RNA of Zingiber officinale, 2119 nucleotides long. RefSeq lists it as uncharacterized. Lineage: Eukaryota; Viridiplantae; Streptophyta; Magnoliopsida; Zingiberales; Zingiberaceae. The transcript is spliced from 3 exons. The record is from RefSeq and is a predicted model, not a curated record.
UCGAACCCUUCUCUGCCAAAACCCUCCGCGACCUAAACUCCUCAUCAACCAAAACCAUCCAUGAAAAUGUACCCACCUCCUCCAAACCACGAAAAACAUCUUACGCCAAAACUCUCAUCCGCGUCGCCCGCAUCUAGCCUCCUCUGCGUCGCCCGCACCUAGCCUCCUCCGCCACUCAUCUGAGUUGCCUGCGACUAGCUUACUCAGCCACUCCUCCGCAUCGUCCGUGACCUCGCCUCCUCUGCCACUCCUCCAUGUCGCCCGCGAUCUAGCUUCCUCCGCCACUCCUCCGCCCACUCAUCAUCAUCAUCCGGUUCUUCAAUUGUUAGUGGAUCUCAAAUAUAUGGUAAGAUUUAAGAUCCGCGUCUUUGGAGAUUCCAUGGGUUGCAAGUUAGGUACCAAAAUAUCUCUUUUGGUGGAAGGUGUUGUCGAGAUAGGUACGGUGGAAUUAGUCGAUCUUCAACUGUCUUCUUACCUUGUAGAAACUGCAUUCGUUGGAAAACCAUACUUUCAGAAUGGUGUACCUUCGCUUGUUGCCUUGCCUUCUAAGUGUACAAAUACUCAUUGCAUUGAAAAGUUUGUAAAGGAUGAUGGAUCUUUUAUAUAACUUGUGUUGGUUGGAAACUCUUCCUAUAUUAUUUACUUACAAUUUCAUUGUACGUAUCCUGAUGAAUUCUCAGUUGAUUCAAUUUUAGAUUGGAUGACAACCAAUAUUCUUGGUCUACCUCGCAUUCUUUAUUAUUCAAAGGAGACUCUGGUAAUACAUGUGCUCUGGGUAAUUUAAAUAGCAUGGUAAAUGUUUUUUGUGAGGUCUUGGUUUAAGUUUAUUAGGUGAACUUUAGCAUCGAUGUAGUUGCCACAUGCUAUUACUAACUAGGCUAGGCUUGUGGUCUAGCUGUGGGCAUGGGUCUCAAGUUUUUGAGAGCUAUAUACAUUAAUUGUUUAUCCUAGGUGUUUAUGCAAACUCUUUAGCUGUUUUUACUGUCAUAUGGGGUGGUGUUAUAUAACUUAUUUUUUAAACUUUUGUUCUUGACAAUAUAAUGUGGUGCUCUCUGUUACCUAUCAUUUUCAGGCCAAGUUCAUUGCAACAAGUGGUCGCUAUAAAAUACUGGCUGCAAACUAAUAGAAUUGUGAGGACAACUACUUAAAAUGUUAUGUCUAAUAUAUUUUUAAUGUUUCUUUAAACCCUUAGACAAGCUAAUGGGUUGAUUUAUGUUUCGGAAAAAUAAAGUAUUAGGGUAGUGAACUAAUGAUGUAUAUUCUAUUAAUAGUGGGCAUUUUCUCUAAUGGUUGCAAAUUAAAGAAUUCUGAUUACUCCCUGCUCCUAAACUUUCAUCUUCCCUCCUUAUUAGUUUUGGAAUACCAGCAAAAAUGGGUGCCUCCUCCACCUCCCUCUUCUCUUCUUUUCUUCUUCUGAUUCUUCCACUCUUUUUAUCCCUCUCUCAUCCUAUCUUCGUGUCUUCCGCCUUUCCCAUCUGCUUCUACUGCUAUAAUCAUUGCCUCAUUCAGAGAGAGGGGUUGGUUAUGGAUUCUCACUUUAUUGGCUCAAUCAGAUAUUCAGGAAACUGAUCCAUAGUUCAACAAUCAUAAUACGAGCCUAAACAGUCCUAAAUAUUAAACUGUGACAGUCUCCUACAAAUUAGUAAAUGCUAUCUGGGAUGGUGAACCACCAGGUAAAAAUCAUUCAGAACAAAAAGCUGUUAAACUUUAUAGUAAUUUUUUGUUCUAUUACUGAGGCACUAAUAAAUAAUCGUUCUUUUGUUUCUAAUCAAAUGUUAGUUGAUGCCCCAACAUCUUCCGGAGGGUGAUCCUUCAAAGAAAAUAAUUGUUCGAAUAACUGGAGAUAAAAGACAAAUUGAAUCUGCUAAAGAUAUGAUCAAGGACGUAAUGAAUCAGGUAGUAGGUAGAUGAUAUGGAGAUGCUUGGAGUAUGCUGCUGGUCGGUCCCCUUUCCCACGUCAUAUCCGAGGACCUUUAUCGGUUUUGUUUCUCUUUUCCUACAUUUUGUAUUGGUUGGAUUUGGAGUUGUGAGAACGAAUUGUGUUUUUGAUAUGUGUAUUGUGGACUUGUAUCUGUGAUGUGUUUCAUGGACUUUUGUAUUUGUGGGUUUCCUCUUCGCC